Molecule: ribosomal RNA, 497 nt
Filed under: uncultured bacterium
Lineage: Bacteria
Description: partial 16S ribosomal RNA
Rfam family: Bacterial small subunit ribosomal RNA
Source: RNAcentral
GAUGAACGCUGGCGGCGUGCCUAAUACAUGCAAGUCGAGCGGACGGACGCGAAGCUUGCUUCUUUGUUGUUAGCGGCGGUCGGGCGAGUAACACGUGGAUAAUCUACUUAUAUGUCGGGGAUCACUUCGGGAAUCUGAAGCUAAUAGCGGAUGAUAUUUUGCACCGUAUGGUUGAAUAGUGAAUGACGGUGUUUCUGUAACUUAUAGAUGGAUAUGCGCUGCAUUAGCUAGUUGGUACGGUAACGGCUUACCAAGGCUACGAAUCAUAGCCGACCUGGGAGGGGGAUCGGCCACAUUGGAACGGAGACACGGUCCAGACUCCUACGGGAGGCAGCAGUAGGGAAUCGUCCGCAAUGGGCGAAAGCCUGACAGAGCAACGCCACGUGUGUGAUGAAGGUCUUCCGAUCGUAAAACUCUGUUAUUAGUUAAAAACAGAUGUGGAAUUAACUGUGCACAUCUUGACGGUACCUAAUCAGAAAGCCACGGCUAACUACGUG